UGUUAAUUCUUCCAGAUCUGGAGUUCUAAG
RNAcentral lists this non-coding RNA (30 nucleotides) under Mus musculus (house mouse). Lineage: Eukaryota; Metazoa; Chordata; Mammalia; Rodentia; Muridae. The record is from RNAcentral.